This 406-nucleotide ribosomal RNA is filed under the name uncultured bacterium. RNAcentral's name for it is "partial 16S ribosomal RNA". It matches the Rfam family "Bacterial small subunit ribosomal RNA", at positions 30 to 526 of the family's 1533-position model. The record is from RNAcentral.
AUUGAACGCUGGCGGCAGGCUUAACACAUGCAAGUCGAGCGAGCGGCGGACGGGUGAGUAGUGUCUGGGAAACUGCCUGAUGGACGGGGAUAACUACUGGAAACGGUAGCUAAUAGCGCAUACCAUCAGAUGUGCCCAGAUGGGAUGAGCUAGUAGGAGGGGUAAUGGCACACCUAGGCGACGAUCCCGAGCUGGUCUGAGAGGAUGACCAGCCACACUGUAACUGAGACACGGUCCAGACGCCUACGGGAGGCAGCAGUGGGGAAUAUUGCACAAUGGGCGCAAGCCUGAUGCAGCCAUGCCGCGUGUGUGAAGAAGGCCUUCGGGUUUUAAAGCACUUUCAGCGAGGAGGCGUUACUCGCAGAUGAAGCACCGGCUAACUCCGUGCCAGCAGCCGCGGUAAUUC